RNAcentral lists this long non-coding RNA (281 nucleotides) under Elaeis guineensis (African oil palm). RNAcentral describes it as "long non-coding RNA (EGUI_LNC033432)". Lineage: Eukaryota; Viridiplantae; Streptophyta; Magnoliopsida; Arecales; Arecaceae. The record is from RNAcentral.
GAUUCAGACUCGAUUUGAACCAGAUUAGGUCCCAACUUGAACUAGAAGAAUCAUGACUUGGAGUGCCCAGGUCUCCUAGGAUCUCUCUAGAAAUCAUGCCAAGAAAGGAAGAGGGAUGUUGUUUUUCUCAUCCUUCUUUUUUUAUACGUGAAAGGGGUUGGCGCCCCACCUUAUCUGAAAUUCUUUUUUCUUCCAAAUUUUUUUUAUUUGAAUUUAAUUCAAAAUAUGAUAAAAAUCCAUCUAAUUGGGGCAUGGAAGAAUUUUUUUGUGUGACAAAAAAA